RNAcentral lists this ribosomal RNA (274 nucleotides) under uncultured bacterium. RNAcentral describes it as "partial 16S ribosomal RNA". It matches the Rfam family "Bacterial small subunit ribosomal RNA", at positions 524 to 796 of the family's 1533-position model. The record is from RNAcentral.
UACGGAGGGUGCGAGCGUUAAUCGGAAUUACUGGGCGUAAAGGGCGCGUAGGCGGCUGAUCAAGUCAGGUGUGAAAGCCCACGGCUUAACCGUGUGAAGUGCAUCUGAAACUGGUCGGCGUGAGUAUCGGAGAGGAAAGUGGAAGUCCCGGUGGAGAGGUGAAAUUCGUAGAUAGCGGGAGGAAUACCGGUGGCGAAGGCGACGUUCUGGAAGAAUACUGACGCUGAGGAGCGAAAGCGUGGGGAGCCAACAGGAUUAGAUACCCCUGUAGUCC